GAUGAACGCUGGCGGCGUGCCUAAUACAUGCAAGUCGAGCGAACAGAUGAGGAGCUUGCUCCUCUGACGUUAGCGGCGGACGGGUGAGUAACACGUGGAUAACCUACCUAUAAGACUGGGAUAACUUCGGGAAACCGGAGCUAAUACCGGAUAAUAUAUUGAACCGCAUGGUUCAAUAGUGAAAGACGGUUUUGCUGUCACUUAUAGAUGGAUCCGCGCCGCAUUAGCUAGUUGGUAAGGUAACGGCUUACCAAGGCAACGAUGCGUAGCCGACCUGAGAGGGUGAUCGGCCACACUGGAACUGAGAACCGGUCCAGACUCCUACGGGAGGCAGCAGUAGGGAAUCUUCCGCAAUGGGCGAAAGCCUGACGGAGCAACGCCGCGUGAGUGAUGAAGGUCUUCGGAUCGUAAAACUCUGUUAUUAGGGAAGAACAAAUGUGUAAGUAACUAUGCACGUCUUGACGGUACCUAAGCAGAAAGCCACGGCUAACUACGU
RNAcentral lists this ribosomal RNA (496 nucleotides) under uncultured bacterium. Its description in RNAcentral is "partial 16S ribosomal RNA". It matches the Rfam family "Bacterial small subunit ribosomal RNA", at positions 28 to 506 of the family's 1533-position model. The record is from RNAcentral.